RNAcentral lists this unclassified non-coding RNA (200 nucleotides) under Hevea brasiliensis (rubber tree). Lineage: Eukaryota; Viridiplantae; Streptophyta; Magnoliopsida; Malpighiales; Euphorbiaceae. The record is from RNAcentral.
CGCUCGGCGGUCAACCGGUGAUGACUUCGACCGGCCCAAUCAGGGUCUCGCAGCAGGACGGGCCGGUCACGAUCGGCCCCGACGGCUCUAUCUCUAUCGGCAAGGGAUCCAUCGGGCGUUUACGCAUUGUCCGGUNNNNGGCAGCUCUCCGCGGAGAGUGGCGGAAUGUUUUCUGCUGCAGCUUCGCCGACGGACGUCGC